This 364-nucleotide transfer-messenger RNA is filed under the name Laceyella sediminis. RNAcentral describes it as "Standard tmRNA". It matches the Rfam family "transfer-messenger RNA". Rfam says of the family: Bacterial tmRNA, also known as 10Sa RNA or SsrA, is named for its dual tRNA and mRNA-like properties. Its role is to liberate the mRNA from a stalled ribosome. Lineage: Bacteria; Bacillati; Bacillota; Bacilli; Caryophanales; Thermoactinomycetaceae. The record is from RNAcentral.
GGGGGCGUUCUUGGGAUUCGACGGGGAUAGUUCGAGCGUCAGUAGCGAGCCGAGGGGUUGCGUCUCUCGUUAAACACGCAAAUGCCAAAUGUAACUGGCAAAAACGAAAACUUUGCUCUGGCUGCUUAAUUAAGCGACCAGGAUCCGCUUCUCCAUCGCCCAUGUGGAGCUGUCGGGUCUCAUACCUUAGUGGGCUAGCUGCCUGAUCGGCCACUGGUCAGAAAGCGAAUCUCAAGUGGCUAGUCUCUAUAAACGCCUGUCACUGGGCAGUUAUCGAGGCGAACACUCAAUACAGUGACUGCGCUCGGAGAAGCUGGCGUGGCGAUGUCUUCGGACAGCGGUUCGACUCCGCUCGCCUCCACCA